GACGAACGCUGGCGGCGUGCUUAACACAUGCAAGUCGAACGGAAAGGCCCUGCUUUUGUGGGGUGCUCGAGUGGCGAACGGGUGAGUAACACGUGAGUAACCUGCCCUUGACUUUGGGAUAACUUCAGGAAACUGGGGCUAAUGCCGGAUAGGAGCUCCUGCUGCAUGGUGGGGGUUGGAAAGUUUCGGCGGUUGGGGAUGGACUCGCGGCUUAUCAGCUUGUUGGUGGGGUAGUGGCUUACCAAGGCUUUGACGGGUAGCCGGCCUGAGAGGGUGACCGGCCACAUUGGGACUGGGAUACGGCCCCGACUCCUACGGGAGGCAGCAGUGGGGAAUAUUGCACAAUGGGCGGAAGCCUGAUGCAGCAACGCCGCGUGCGGGAUGACGGCCUUCGGGUUGUAAACCGCUUUCGCCUGUGACGAAGCGUGAGUGACGGUAAUGGGUAAAGAAGCACCGGCUAACUACGUG
This 468-nucleotide ribosomal RNA is filed under the name uncultured bacterium. RNAcentral's name for it is "partial 16S ribosomal RNA". It matches the Rfam family "Bacterial small subunit ribosomal RNA", at positions 28 to 507 of the family's 1533-position model. The record is from RNAcentral.